UGGUUCUGGCAUCGAUGAAGAACGCAGCGAAAUGCGAUAAGUAAUAUGAAUUGCAGAAUUCAGUGAAUCAUCGAAUUUUUGAACGCACAUUGCGCCUUUGAGAAUUCUCUUAGGCAUGCCUGUUUGAGCGUCUGUUGAACAUCUUAAAGCGUUUGCUUUCUGUUGGACUUUUGGCAUGAACCAAUUUCCCAAACUCAUGGGCGUUGAAUUUGUUUGCUAUUCACAGUGAAAAUGUGCGUAACAACCAGGUUUAUAUUCGCCAGUCUUCCUUUCUGUUCGACCUCAAAUCAAGUAAGAUUACCCGCUGA
This 308-nucleotide unclassified non-coding RNA is filed under the name uncultured fungus. Its description in RNAcentral is "partial contains 5.8S ribosomal RNA and internal transcribed spacer 2". The stretch from base 1 to 133 matches the Rfam family "5.8S ribosomal RNA", at positions 22 to 154 of the family's 154-position model. Lineage: Eukaryota; Fungi. The record is from RNAcentral.